CAUGUCUUUUUGAUUAUAAUUUAAAGUCUGACCUGCCCUAUGAAUAAGAUUUAAAUGGCUGCAGUAUUUUGACUGUGCAAAGGUAGCAUAAUAAUUAGUUUCUUAAUUAGGAACUGGUAUGAAUGGUUGAACGAGAAAAAUACUGUCUCAAUUUAAUUUAAAUUAGAAUUUUAUAUUUAAGUUAAAAAGCUUAAAUAUUUUUAAAAGACGAGAAGACCCUAUAGAGUUUUAUAUUAAAUGAUUUAUUUUAAAAAUUAAAGAAUUUAAGAUUUAAUUAUGUUAUUUAAUAUUUAAUUGGGGCGAUUUAAAAAUUAAUAGAACUUUUUUUAUAUUAUACCAUUGAUAUAUGAAUUUAUGAUCCAUAUUUUAUGAUUAUAAGAUUAAAUUACCUUAGGGAUAACAGCGUUAUUUUUUUUUAGAGUUCUUAUCGAAAAAAAAGUUUGCGACC
RNAcentral lists this ribosomal RNA (448 nucleotides) under Pseudignambia sp. dgi2. RNAcentral describes it as "partial 16S ribosomal RNA". Lineage: Eukaryota; Metazoa; Arthropoda; Insecta; Coleoptera; Scarabaeidae. The record is from RNAcentral.